GUUUACAGCCAUGCUACCCUGAACAAGCCCAACCCUGUCUGAUCUCGGAAGCUAAGCAGGGUUUGGCCUGGUUAGUACUUGGAUGGGAGACCACCUAGGAAGACCAGGUGCUGUAGGUG
RNAcentral lists this ribosomal RNA (119 nucleotides) under Pteropus alecto (black flying fox). The record is from RNAcentral. Lineage: Eukaryota; Metazoa; Chordata; Mammalia; Chiroptera; Pteropodidae.